Molecule: long non-coding RNA, 1391 nt
Organism: Astatotilapia calliptera (eastern happy)
Lineage: Eukaryota; Metazoa; Chordata; Actinopteri; Cichliformes; Cichlidae
Source: Ensembl
AAGAGCCGUAAUAUCACAUUAAACCUAAUUACGAGGCACUCAUAACAUAAUUUGGUUUUCUGUGUGAAUAGAUUUGCCAGCUGACUCUUCAGUUAUAUUGUGUAUUUACUGCACCGUGGUGUUAGUGAGAUUUUGGACAUUGAACAGCUUUAGCUAAUAUCAUCAGCGGCAUUAUGCUAGCUUACAUCCCUACCCCUCCUGCCCUCACCUGCUGUCCUUUUGUUUUUGUUUUUUUUGCUGCACAUUGAGAGACGACCUCUAUUCUGCAUUUCACCAGGAGUCAGCUGAUGGAUUGUGGGUUCAAGGUGUUAUGAUGAAAUGCAGCAUUCCAGUGCAUCCCAACCAUGCCUUUACAGUCAAGGUUUCUGACGGAGCUGAGUUUCUCUCUGACAGUCUGCUGAAAGUGUUUGCAAAGUGAUCGGGGGAAACAGGGCACAAAGCUAAAGGAUGUAGCUGCCAUGAUGACAGAUGACAUUAAUGCUCGAAGGGAGUCUCAUCAAAGUGCUCCGCAUCUGUGUGAAAGACAAUUGCAACAUCUUAGUGCAGGAGUUCAUGGACUUGACUGAGGCCACUGCACGGAUUGAGAAAACCACAAUGAACAUCUGUCUCCAGAGGAUGCACCAGGCAAUGACUUUUCUGAUGUUGGCAUCAUCAUCGAGGGUAUAGUAGUUCUUCAAGAUCUGGAUAACGUGACCUUUGCAGUAGCCAUGCUGUUUGGACCUUUUUUAUUCCUUCAACAUGAGUUACCCAUCACAACUCUGCUACACUUUUGAGGUGAUUCAAAGGGUGGUAAUGGAGUUGGAUGCAACUCAGCUCUCAAGAAAAGCUCACAACUAAGACAAAACUACUCCUGCAAGGAAAGCUCACUGUUAUGCAUGCAAGCUGAUCAGCUCUAGGUGAGAGGACAUUUAAAUCUCACACUUGUUCUGCUGCAUUUUUGAAGCUCAAUUCCAGGAACAGAUCGCAGGGUUCAUUUUUAUAUACUCUGCAACUGCCAUGAGGACGAGCCGUUUUUUGUUGUUGUUUUCCUUUUGCUCUGUACAGCAUUUUGGCAGCAUUUUUAAAUUUCUCUUUGUAUUUUUUCUUUCUUUUACUAGUGAAGAGAUGUAGCGUGAACAGUUAUGCAGUCUAAAUAUCCCAUAUGGGUCGUGUGAAAUGGUAUUUUCAGUUUCAUUCAGUUGAAGUAAAGAACGUUGAAUAUUUCUAAGUGUGCUGUUUUGAACCAAGAUGUCACAGUAUGAUCAGUGCUGUAAUUUUUGACAGUCACUGUAUCAAUGUUAUUUUUGCAUCUCUUGAAUAAAGGUUUUGACCUGCAGGUGCUAAUUUCUUUAGUUAUUGGGGUAAAAUGGGUAAUGUUAAUAGGAAGGUGUUUGCCAAUUCAGUAACCUAAU